Molecule: ribosomal RNA, 253 nt
Filed under: uncultured bacterium
Lineage: Bacteria
Description: partial 16S ribosomal RNA
Rfam family: Bacterial small subunit ribosomal RNA
Source: RNAcentral
CACGUAGGGUGCGAGCGUUGUCCGGAAUUAUUGGGCGUAAAGAGUGUGUAGGCGGUGCUCCAAGUCUGUUGUGAAAUCUCCCGGCUUAACUGGGAGGGUGCGGCGGAAACUGGAAUGCUAGAGGGUGGGAGAGGUAAGCGGAAUUCCUGGUGUAGCGGUGAAAUGCGUAGAUAUCAGGAGGAACACCUGUGGUGUAGACAGCUUACUGGACCACUUCUGACGCUGAGACACGAAAGCGUGGGUAGCAAACAGG